Molecule: ribosomal RNA, 253 nt
Filed under: uncultured bacterium
Lineage: Bacteria
Description: partial 16S ribosomal RNA
Rfam family: Bacterial small subunit ribosomal RNA
Source: RNAcentral
UACGUAGGGUGCAAGCGUUGUCCGGAAUUAUUGGGCGUAAAGAGCUCGUAGGCGGUCUGUCGCGUCGGCUGUGAAAUCCCGAGGCUCAACCUCGGGUCUGCAGUCGAUACGGGCAAACUAGAGUAUUGCAGGGGAGACUGGAAUUCCUGGUGUAGCGGUGAAAUGCGUAGAUAUCUGGAGGAACACCGGUGGCGAAGGCGGCGACCUGGGUCGAGACUGACGCUGAGGCGCGAAAGCGUGGGGAGCAAACAGG